ACUAAAUACCCGACCCAUCUAAAUACCUAAAUAGAAAAAAUUUGAUCCUAAUAUCAAAAAGGGGAAACCCUUUACAACAUAUGAUCAGUCACUCUAUCUUAGUAAAAAAAAAUCAAGUCACUAUCUUCAAAAUUGGAGGCGUGACUUUAUCGAUCAUUGCUCCGGUAGUCUUCUCUGAUUAAUCUCAUCAGUUAAACACUCUAAUUUCCAAAAAUUUAUUGAAGAAUGAUUGAUAAAGUGGACUUGGUAUUUAAUUAUGGGGGAAAGUGGGUCCCAUCUCCUCAACUAGUCUACAUAAAAAAGCUGAAUCAGGCUUGAGAAGGAUAUGAUAUUGCUAUGUUGUCAUAUAUUGAUAUAUGUGGAGAGUUCAUAGAAAAGUUUGAUUUUACGGCUGUAAAGAAGCUCCUAGUAACAAGACCUACUGGUUGCUGGAUGUUGUUACUCAAGUCUUUCCCAAGGCACAUCAUAGACGGUGUAUAAGACAUAUAGAAGCAAAUUGGAGCAAGACUUGGAAGACAGUAGAAAUGAAGAAAGUGCUAUGGUGGUCUUCUUGGAGCACCUAUGAAGAAGAAUUUCACGAUCAAUUGAAGAAUAUGGGUAGUGUGUCAGAACAAGCUGCUGAGAAUUUAUUGUGGUAUCGUUGUGCAGGGCAUGUUUUAACACAAUCUGCAAGAAUCAAGGAUGUGAUAACAAUUUUACAGAGUGAUUCAAGAAAUGAAUCCUAAAGGUAAGGGCACAACCUAUAAUCAAGAUGUUAGAAAAUAUUAGAAUUAAGGUAAGUUACUGUUUUACUAACUUCACUUUAUUUUUUCUAAUCUUUUCCUAGUGCAAUACUAGGUCAGUACUAUAUAAACACUAACAACCUCCAAUCUAGAAACAAAAUCAAAAUAGAAGUUACAUAGUUACAAUGGAAAGAGCCUAAUCAAGUAAAUCAAACUAGUUAACAAAUUACAUAAAAACUGUUGCUGGGGUGUUGCAAAGACAUAUGUUGAACUAUGUAACUGCCCAGAUGUUUGAAUGAAUUGAGGUACUAGAUAUGGAUGCAUAGGAGGCAAGGGUGGCAAGGGUGGAGACGGUGAUGGUAGAGAAGGUGGUUCAUUUGGAGUUAAUUCUCGAGCAACGCUUGGAAGAUUGUGUUGCACUGCAUUUGGCUGAGAGAAAAAUGAGAAGGGUUCUUGAGGAUUCUGAGGGGCAACAUUAGAAGAGCGGUCAUUUUCAAGCUUUAUCCUUUUCUCUGGUUGAUUAUCUGGGAAGAUUAUUUAGUAGAAUUCCUAUGACACCCUCAGACGCCAAGGAUAAGAGUACAUAAGUCAGCAUCUGGGCUGAAGAUGUUGAUGUAGUGAGCUUUGCCGCCACUGCAGCAGCAGCUGAUUUCAUAUCAUCGUCCAGGUUGCCAAAUUUUACAUAUGAUGCCUGUCGAGUGUACAUCACUUUGUCUCCACGAUGCUUUCCAUUCCCAACAUGCUUUCCAGCAAACUCUUCCUUUAGAAUCUGCCCUCGAUAACCAAAGACUUUUCUCUCCUCCCAGAGAUACUGAUCAGCCACAAUGUAGCAUUUUUUGCAAACUCAUUUCCAUUUUCAACGACAUCACGAAGAGCAUCUUGAGGAACCUUCCAAAAUUCAUUGUUGGGGAUGUUUAGUCAUAGUUUUUCACUUUAUAUGGAUAUAUACAUGCUAAUUUUUUUUCCAGUUUUAUAGCUAUUUAUGUAUGCAGUUUUUUUCAAUUUUAUAUUAGUUUAGUGUUGUGGGUUUAUUCAUCUUUUACUCACUUCACCAGAUGUUUAGUUACUUUUUUUCACUUUUAUAUAAGCAUAUGUAUGCAGUUUUUCUCAAUUUCAUAUUAGCUUAUUGUUGCGUAUUUUCUUAUCUUUUACUCACUUCACUGUUGGGAUGUUCAUUCACUUUUUUUUUUAACUUUAUGUAGGCAUAUAUAUGCUGUUUUUUCAGUUUUAUAACUAUAUAUGUAUGCAGUUUUUUUAGUUACUAGUUAGCUUAAUAUCAAUAUUUGUAUAUUUAGGUAAUGAAUAGGUUUAAAGAACUUGAUGAGGAGGGUAGAAAGUGGAAGGAAAAUUUUAGUCCAUAUGCUUUGGAACUGUAUAAUGAUUACUUGAUCAUUGCACAAUCUUGUCACGUUCAGACUAACAGAGACCAAGGUUAUGAGGUGGUUGAGGGUGAAGAUCGAUAUGUGAAUCUUGCUAGGAAGAAGUGCACAUGUAGAACGUGGGACUUGACAGAUAUUCCAUGUCCUCAUGCCAUUAAAGCCUAUCUUCACGACAAACAAGAAUCAAAAAGUCUUUGCACCCAUGUUAUUCAAAAGAGACUUACAAUUUGGUGUAUAUGCAAAAAAUACAACCUGUUGGAGGUGAGAAAUUCUGAAAAAUUGAUCCUUCUCAUGCUAUGGAGUCACCAAAAAUAGUUAAAAUGGUAGGUAAACCAAAGCUUAAGAGGAAAAGAGGAAAAGUUGAGACAAGAAACAGGGAGGAGGUAUCGUCAGAUUCAAGAAAAGGAUUGAAAAUGACAUGUGGGUAUUGUGGUGAAACUGGUCACAACAAAAAAAAUGUCCUUUGUUAAGUAAUUUAUCUUUACAUAGUCAAUAAUUACGCUAACUAAUUCAUCAUUUAACUACUUUAUCAAUUUUUUAGCUUCAAAGAUCAGCACAAAGAACCCAAGAUGUGCCAGUUGCAGCACCCCUAGCGAUUUAAGAAUCUGCCAGUGUCUUCACACCUACUUCUAUUUUAUUGAUUCUUACAUUGAACAGACAAGCCUCUCUGCUUGACUUUAAAAUUCACAGACAAAUGUCAAUGAAUCUGUUGGAGCUUCAAGGUCAAAGAGAAAUACCAACUAACCUAUUGGACCUAAGCAAUCUGUUACAUUUUCAAGUGUAGUUUCUGAUGAAGAUGUUGAUGAAUAUGAGGAGGAUGAUCAGCCAAUUCUAAAUCCUGAGACACUAUUUGAAGAAAAGACUAGGCUUCAAGAAAAAAAUGCUGAUUCGACCAACUGGUACUAGGAGAAUUGGCUUCGAGGGAGAUGAAAAUGAUGCGAGUAUGCCUACUAAUUUGCCAUAUUCACCAAGAAAGCUUACUUGAAAAGGCAAAAUAGCUACGACUUCGGGUGUGUUUAGUAUGAUGGAAAAUAUUUUCUGAAAAUAUUGUCCCAUUUUCCUUUGUUUGGUUAUAUUAAAGUAUUAAGAAAACAUUUUCCAAGGGGGCUUAUUUUCCUUCAUUUGAAGGAAAAUGACUUCCCUGAUCAGCCAAGGGAAGUCAUUUUCCCUAUGAAAAUACAGCGCUAUUACUCCACCCCACCCCUCUUCUCCAUCUCUACCUCAAACAAAAUUGAGCUCGCAUUACAACAAAUUUCACUGCGGUCUUCAAUGUUAGGGUUUUCUCCUCUCUCUCUCUAUUCUUCCCAUUGCAAGAGCUUUGAAGGCACAUCCCAAUCAUGACAGGUUCAUCAACAAAAAAAUUGAAAUGUUUGACGAAAUGUCUCUUGUGUGUGGAAAUGAUCAGGCUAGGGGAGAUUGUGCUAAAUCAUUUGAAGAUAUAGAUUUUUAUAGUUUUUCUGAGAAAGAUAAUGAUAAUGACCUUGAAGGACCAUCCAUCGAAAAGGAUGUGCAAGUAACCGAAGCUUCUCACGUUAAGGCAAGUCGCAAAAGAAAACGUCUUCUCACGUUAAGGCAAGUCGCAAAAGAAAACGUUCUUUUGAGGGGCAAGAUGUCGUAGGUGAUAUAUCAAUAAAGUUUGUAGAAGUGGCAACGGCAAUCACUAGAAUGGUUGAUAGUCGUCUUGAUGUGACAAAGUUGUAUGAAGAAGAUAUGGCACUGAAAGGUUAUAAUGAAGAGUUCCUCGGUGAUGCUUUUGAUUAUUUGGUGCAAAGCGACUCUUCAUGAUCAAAAAUCAAAAUCUUCGUAAGGUGUGGUUGGAACGAUUCAAGCAACAACAGUAGUGACACCUAUUGAUUGGGUUAGCUUCAUAGGAUUUGGAAGCAACUAUUAUUCGCACGCUUUUAUUUUUGAUAAUGUAUCGCGUAUUUAUUUCCAAACUUUUCUCUUUUCUUUUGUUUUUGAUAAUGUAUCGUGUAUUUGUUUCCAAACUUCUCUCUUUUGUGCAUUUAUGGGAAUUGAUUAGGAAGCUUGAAUUAUGUAAGUAAUAGUUGCUUAAAUUUUA
Molecule: long non-coding RNA, 4163 nt
Organism: Capsicum annuum
Lineage: Eukaryota; Viridiplantae; Streptophyta; Magnoliopsida; Solanales; Solanaceae
Exons: 4
Source: RefSeq, a predicted model, not a curated record